RNAcentral lists this unclassified non-coding RNA (214 nucleotides) under Hevea brasiliensis (rubber tree). Lineage: Eukaryota; Viridiplantae; Streptophyta; Magnoliopsida; Malpighiales; Euphorbiaceae. The record is from RNAcentral.
GGUGACCCUCUUUGUUCUUUUGCCUAUUAAACUAAAAAGUUCCUUUCUUUCAUGAAAAGCUUUUCCACCCUCCCCUCAACCUACCCAUUUCUCUGUUUUUGUUCUACUUCAUUUCAUAGAACAAAAUUAAUCUCAAAAGAUUAGAAAGUUUCGUUUGUUUUUUGUUCUCAUUUUUCUUUUCGCUGUUUUUGUGAUGAUGGGUAGGUUUCAGGAG